AGAGUUUGAUCCUGGCUCAGGAUGAACGCUGGCGGUCUGCUUAACACAUGCAAGUCGAACGGGAUCCUUCGGGAUUUAGUGGCGGACGGGUGAGUAACGCGUGAGAAUCUGCCCUUAGGUUGGGGACAACAGUUGGAAACGACUGCUAAACCCGGAUGAGCCGAAAGGUAAAAGAUUUAUCGCCUAGAGAGGGGCUUGCGUCUGAUUAGCUAGUUGGUAAGGUAAAGGCUUACCAAGGCGACGAUCAGUAGCUGGUCUGAGAGGAUGAUCAGCCACACUGGGACUGAGACACGGCCCAGACUCCUACGGGAGGCAGCAGUGGGGAAUUUUCCGCAAUGGGCGAAAGCCUGACGGAGCAAGACCGCGUGGGGGAGGAAGGCCUAUUGGUUGUAAACCUCUUUUGAUAGGGAAGAACACAAUGACGGUACCUAUCGAAUCAGCAUCGGCUAACUCCGUGCCAGCAGCCGCGGUAAUACGGAGGAUGCAAGCGUUAUCCGGAUUUAUUGGGCGUAAAGCGUCCGUAGGUGGCAAACCAAGUCAGUUGUUAAAGCGUAGAGCUUAACUCUAUAAGGGCAAUUGAAACUGGUUAGCUAGAGUGCGAUAGGGGCAAGGGGAAUUCCCAGUGUAGCGGUGAAAUGCGUAGAUAUUGGGAAGAACAUCGGUGGCGAAGGCGCCUUGCUGGGUCUGCACUGACACUGAGGGACGAAAGCUAGGGGAGCGAAAGGGAUUAGAUACCCCUGUAGUCCUAGCCGU
Molecule: ribosomal RNA, 753 nt
Filed under: cyanobacterium enrichment culture clone 5_RT_5.5.1_A07-T7
Lineage: Bacteria; Bacillati; Cyanobacteriota
Description: bacterial SSU rRNA
Rfam family: Bacterial small subunit ribosomal RNA
Source: RNAcentral